GGAGAAUUAGCUCAGCUGGUUCAGAGCAUCUGCCUUACAAGCAGAGGGUCACUGGUUCGAAUCCAGUAUUCUCCACCA
RNAcentral lists this transfer RNA (78 nucleotides) under Sphingobacterium thalpophilum. Its description in RNAcentral is "tRNA-Val". It matches the Rfam family "tRNA". From Rfam's summary of the family: Transfer RNA (tRNA) molecules are approximately 80 nucleotides in length. Their secondary structure includes four short double-helical elements and three loops (D, anti-codon, and T loops). Lineage: Bacteria; Pseudomonadati; Bacteroidota; Sphingobacteriia; Sphingobacteriales; Sphingobacteriaceae. The record is from RNAcentral. RNAcentral also lists the same sequence under 53 other names.